CCUUAGUACGGCGAAGUGAAGCGGUAAAAGCUCCAAAUUUGAAAUCUGGUACUUUCAGUGCCCGAGUUGUAAUUUGUAGAAUUUGUCUUUGAUUAGGUCCUUGUCUAUGUUCCUUGGAACAGGACGUCAUAGAGGGUGAGAAUCCCGUUUGGCGAGGAUACCUUUUCUCUGUAAGACUUUUUCGAAGAGUCGAGUUGUUUGGGAAUGCAGCUCAAAGUGGGUGGUAAAUUCCAUCUAAAGCUAAAUAUUGGCGAGAGACCGAUAGCGAACAAGUACAGUGAUGGAAAGAUGAAAAGAACUUUGAAAAGAGAGUGAAAAAGUACGUGAAAUUGUUGAAAGGGAAGGGCAUUUGAUCAGACAUGGUGUUUUUUGCAUGCACUUGCCUCUCGUGGGCUUGGGCCUCUCAAAAAUUUCACUGGGCCAACAUCAAUUCUGGCAGUAGGAUAAAUCAUUAAGAAUGUAGCUACCUCGGUAGUGUUAUAGCUUAUUGGAAUACUGCUAGCUGGGAUUGAGGACUGCGCUUCGGC
RNAcentral lists this ribosomal RNA (527 nucleotides) under Hanseniaspora uvarum. RNAcentral describes it as "eukaryotic LSU rRNA". It matches the Rfam family "Eukaryotic large subunit ribosomal RNA", at positions 78 to 606 of the family's 3401-position model. Lineage: Eukaryota; Fungi; Ascomycota; Saccharomycetes; Saccharomycodales; Saccharomycodaceae. The record is from RNAcentral.